Molecule: long non-coding RNA, 1335 nt
Filed under: Triticum aestivum (bread wheat)
Lineage: Eukaryota; Viridiplantae; Streptophyta; Magnoliopsida; Poales; Poaceae
Description: long non-coding RNA (TAES_LNC016540)
Source: RNAcentral
CGGAGAGAAAAUCGUCAGCCCAAUACAAGUAAUGAACAUGGAUGCAUCGGCGGUACCUAAAAGCAUCUGAACUUCCGGAGCAUACUGACUGCCUGUCACCCCCUUCCACACCUUGCAUCCCGACAGACUCCAUCAUCCGGAUCCUGCACGAACACACGCAGAAUCCGAAUUAGCAAGGACAAGCACACAUAUAGUGACCAUAAUCAAACUGCAAAGCUACCAUGCCCUGCUGCUACUACUAAAUCUACUAGUAAUACUGAAGUGAUCAUGAUGAAUUGUGCUGAGCUGGGCUGAUGAGACGAUCAAGAUUCAACAACUGGGCGAGCAGGCAAAGGAGUCGAUCUGCUGCAUCAGGUCCUGCACCUCCUCCGCGCCGAACCCCCACGGCUCCAUGUCCCCCGCGGCGGCCACGAGGUCCUCCACAUCAACGUCUAUCUCCGCCUGCCCCUCCUCGAGCAGCUCGUACCAUAUCAUGUCCGUCGUGACGCCGCCCGCGCCCGCGCCCUGGGUCGGCGCGGCUGCUUCCUCGACGACCCCGGCCGCGAGUGCCAGCUCCUCGAAGGUGAACCCGUCCUCCGCCGGUGGCGGCGACGGGAUGACGUCGAGCAGCCGCCGCUUCUUUUUGCCGUCGACAGCGGGGGCCGGAGCCGCCGCGGUGAGGCCGUUGCGGCGCGCCAGGUUGGCCAGGAAUGCAGGGUUCCUGACGGCGCGCGCGAGGAAGGCCUUGCACUGCUCCUGCCGCCGCUCCGUGCCCUGCACGCGGCGCUCCAUGUCGAGCAGUGUCGCGCGCGCCUCCUCCUGCUGCCGCUUGAGCCCGGCCAGCUCCCGCUUCAGCGCCUCCCGGUCCCGCCGCAGCUGCUCCAGCUCCCCCUCCACGGGGCCGAAGCCGCCGGCGCCCUCCGCGCACGACGACGGCGACAAGGCCGCAGCGGGACGGCGGGCGGUGUCGGCGCCGCGGCGGCGUCGAAUGCCGGCCAGGAGGUGGCGCUGCCCGCCGAGGAAGCCCGUGUUGGCAAAUUCCCACCUGUCCGGGUUCACCUUACGGAAUCCCUGCAAUGAUCACACCACAUUCAUCAGCAAAGGAAAGAAAACAGCGAUCGACAAAGAGGUCCAUGGAACCACCGCAGGCGCACUUACGUAGGUGUUGAGCUGCCGGAGGAAGCUGGAGAAGUUGGCGUGCUUGAAGUGGCGCGGGAGGAGGCGGGCGGCGAAGGCGUGGGGGUCCCAGACCACGAAGCUGUUCCGCGCCGCGCCCCACGACACCACCGCGUCCGUUGCCGGGUCCUCCACCAUGUCGAACGUCUUGGCCAGGAACGGCGCCACCGCCGCGGCCGC